This 372-nucleotide unclassified non-coding RNA is filed under the name uncultured bacterium. Its description in RNAcentral is "contains 16S-23S intergenic spacer region". The record is from RNAcentral.
UCCUCUUUACAGAGGCAGUUUGUUUCGAGUUCCCGGCUUUACCCGCUGGUAACAAAACAUGAGGGUUGCGCUCGUUGCGGGACUUAACCCAACAUUUCACAACACGAGCUGACGACAGCCAUGCACCACCUGUGCACCACCCUCGAAGGCGGCUCCGUUUCGGGAGAUUGCAGGUGCAUGUCAAGCCCUGGUAAGGUUCUUCGCGUUGCAUCGAAUUAAGCCACAUGCUCCACCGCUUGUGCGGGCCCCCGCCAAUUCCUUUGAGUUUCAACCUUGCGGCCGUAGUCCCCAGGCGGUUCACUUAAUGCGUUAGCUGCGGCACCGAGGCUUACGCCCCAACACCUAGUGAACAUCGUUUACGGCCAAGACUAC